This 642-nucleotide long non-coding RNA is filed under the name Monodelphis domestica (gray short-tailed opossum). RNAcentral's name for it is "lncRNA (ENSMODG00000033451.2)". Lineage: Eukaryota; Metazoa; Chordata; Mammalia; Didelphimorphia; Didelphidae. The record is from RNAcentral.
UUUUUUUAGGAUCUUUAGGAUAUUUUUGGGAUCAUAGAAUUUAAAAUUAGAAGAUACCUUAAAGACCUCCCUAAUCUGAAUUCUUCAAUUUAUAGGUGAGGAAACAGAGACCUGGAGAGAAUAAAUGGCUUGUUGAGCCCAGGAUGGCCCUGGGAUUGGCUUUGGGGUUCUGCCUUCCUCCUCCUGACUCCACCAUGGAUCCCACACUCUGGGCCGGUGAAUGGUGGCUAACCUACAAGAUGUUUAAAUGCGGAGUGGACUUCCUUAUUCCCUCAGCAGGACAUAGCUAGAGAUACCCAGGGAGACAAAACCUGGGUUUUGGAAUCAUGCUGCAGGACUGAGGUUGGAGCUUUCCCCCUUCUUGGCAUGAAGAUUCCAUAAAGCACCACAAUAGAGUGGAAAGAGGAUUAUAUUUGGAAUGGGAAGAUCUGAGUUUGAAUCCCUGCUAUAUCUUUUGCUAGUUGUGUGCCCUUAUUCAAAUCACUUCCCUUUUGGUGGCCUCAUUUUUUUCAUCUCUAAAAUAGGAGGAGGGAGUUAAAAAUAAUAGAAAUUGAAUGUCAUGAAAUUAUAAUGAUCAAUACUGACCCUAAAUAACAGAUAUGAAAAGGUACCUCUACCACUUCUUUGCAGAGGAGCUAUGGG